UGGGGUGUCGCCAAGUGGUAAGGCACCGGUCUCUGACACCGGCAUUCGCUGGUUCGAAUCCAGCCACCCCAGCCA
This 75-nucleotide transfer RNA is filed under the name Clostridiales bacterium. RNAcentral describes it as "tRNA-Gln". It matches the Rfam family "tRNA". From Rfam's summary of the family: Transfer RNA (tRNA) molecules are approximately 80 nucleotides in length. The record is from RNAcentral. Lineage: Bacteria; Bacillati; Bacillota; Clostridia; Eubacteriales. RNAcentral also lists the same sequence under 2 other names.